Non-coding RNA from Triticum urartu, 221 nucleotides. Lineage: Eukaryota; Viridiplantae; Streptophyta; Magnoliopsida; Poales; Poaceae. The record is from RefSeq and is a predicted model, not a curated record.
UCGAUGGUGGUCCGAGCACUGCCGCCUCCAUCCUCGCACCAUCUUCGUCACACGCAGCCGCCUCCUUCCGCACCCCUCUUCUUCGCGCACGGCAACAGAGGCAGGUCCUGUCAGGGAAUAAUAUUAUUCAGUUAGCAUCUUUUUCGUGGAAGAGGAGUGAGAAUUUAAAGGUGCAUGCUACAUAGAAGCUUAGAUCUGUAAUCAAGCUGUGGAAGAGAAUA